UGCCUGUGAUGAUAACAUUGAAGGCUUGUUUCUCAGAGACAUUCGCAGUGGCCGCCUAAGAUCUUUCGCCUUUCGCCGGGCUUGAGAGAUUGUGCUGUUUUAUCCUUCCUUGGAUGUCUGAGGCA
This is a non-coding RNA of Helianthus annuus (common sunflower), 125 nucleotides long. Lineage: Eukaryota; Viridiplantae; Streptophyta; Magnoliopsida; Asterales; Asteraceae. The record is from Rfam.